Long non-coding RNA from Dioscorea cayenensis subsp. rotundata (Guinea yam), 1284 nucleotides. RefSeq lists it as uncharacterized. The record is from RefSeq and is a predicted model, not a curated record. NCBI's taxonomy places the organism in Eukaryota, Viridiplantae, Streptophyta, Magnoliopsida, Dioscoreales, Dioscoreaceae. The transcript is spliced from 4 exons.
CAAUUUUCUCUAAUGUUUUGUGACUGUACUAGGGUUAGAUCUCCAGGCUCCAACCUUUAAUCUCCAAAUUAUCUGUCUCCUUUCAUCUUUUCUAUGCAAUUUCAUGUUUUGUGGUGUUGGAUCUUGUGGUUUGUGAGUCUAAUUUGUAGGUUUAAGUGGAAGUUGCAGACAAGUUGCUACAUCAUCCGGCACCGUCUACCAGAGAAGUGCGGUUAUUUCUCAUCUCCUUCAUGCUUAGUAGGCAGUAAUCCCUCGUGCCCUACCACGCCAACGACCACUCCACCACCGACGAGGUCCUGCCCGAGAUCAACGCCAACAUUCACCUCAUGUACCUUGCCAACAAGGGCAAUCUCGAAGGCAUCAUCGACCUCUUGUACACCGGUGUCAAUGUCAAUUUCCUGGACAUCGAUGGUCGCACGGCGCUGCACGUCGCUGCUUGCCAGGGCCUCGCCAAUGUCGAGCUACUGUUGAAAAGUGGCUCCAAGGUUGACCUAGAGGAAUGCUAAGGAAACACACCUCUUGCAGAUGCAAUACACUAUAACAACAACAAGAUGUCAUCAAGAUUUGGAGAAAAUGGUGCCAGAAUUAAGUAUCAUGUGUUAUUUUCCACUUUCAACUUAGCUUUGUUAGUUUUAUUCAUGCUUGCGCUUUUCAUCUUGUUCAAAUUGCUCAAAUGCAUGUUAAGAAUGCCCGUGAAGUUCCUAAAUAUGAGACAGAUGCAAAAGAGCUUGAUUUAAGCAAUAGUGUUGGUAUAACUAAGCAUGUUCAAGUAUCUGAUGUUGACCUGUUGGGUUUCUCUCCAAGUAUGGCAUCUCUGACCGAGGUUUCACCCAAUUUCUCUAUGAUCGUUCAGGCAUAAGGCAUUGAUGGACCGCAAGGCUGAGUUGUUUUCUCGGUUCCUUGAUGUUUCAGUCGCCUCUUCAGGGUUUGCUUUCUAUCAUCUCUUUCAUCAUUGUCCUAUUUGGAAUCUCUGUAGUGCAACUAAUCUUUUGUGGUCUUGCUUAUUAAUUUUGCUUUCUUUUGAUGCAUGAAGACUAAUUUCAUGCUAGGGCAUAAUUCUUUGUUAUUUUCUUUCUUGAAUUAUAAAUUCCUUUGUUGUGUUGGUUGUGUCUGUAAUUUCAUGUUGUUCUUUUGAAUUAUCUGCAUAAAUGCAAUCCUCUUAUCAUUCAUCCAGAUCUGAAAUCAUUGAACCUGUUAGUAGAUAAAAAUUGGACUGUGAAGGUUGCUUUAUUAUAUUCGAAUUUAUCCGUUUAUAAAAUAACUUCAAUGAUUUUGUUGAUGUUC